This 440-nucleotide ribosomal RNA is filed under the name uncultured bacterium. RNAcentral's name for it is "partial 16S ribosomal RNA". It matches the Rfam family "Bacterial small subunit ribosomal RNA", at positions 338 to 795 of the family's 1533-position model. The record is from RNAcentral.
CCUACGGGUGGCAGCAGUGGGGAAUAUUGCACAAUGGGGGCAACCCUGAUGCAGCGACGCCGCGUGAUUGAAGACGUAUUUCGGUAUGUAAAGCUCUUUCAGCAGGGAAGAAAUUUACGGUACCUGACUAAGAAACCCCGGCUAACUACGGUCCAGCAGCCGCGGUAAUACGUAGGGGGCCCGCGUUAUUCGGGUUUACUGGGUGUUAAGGGAGCGUAGACGGCAGAGCAAGUCUGAAGUGAAAGCCUGCGGCCCAACCGCGGGACUGCCUUGGAAACUGCCCGGCUAGAGUGAUGGAGAGGUAAGCGGAAUUCCUAGUGUAGCGGUGAAAUGCGUAGAUAUUAGGAGGAACACCAGUGGCGAAGGCGGCCUACUGGACAGUAACUGACGCUGAGGCUCGAAAGCGUGGGGAGCAAACAGGAUUAGAUACCCGAGUAGUC